AUACAUAUGUAUACAUAUACAUAUAUAUAGAACUGAAUCACUUUGCUGUACACCUGAAACUAAUAUUGUAAAUCAACUACACUUCAAUAAAAUCCUAAGUCCACAUUUGCUUCGGCACUGAGAAAAUUCAAAGCUGGGACACCCACUAUCUUGUACUUCAAAAGAACAAAAGAAGUCCGCGAUCAUUACCACACUCCGUCAGCAAGAGGAAUUAAGGCCCCACUUACCCAAACGGAAACUCCAGACAGACAACUGGCAGCACUGAACAGAACCCAGAGCAGUGGUCGUCAUGGUCCUGGGAUUUUAUUUUCACUUUCAAUGCGUACGUCAGCUUUUCCUGGAUUCUCUCUCUGGAAGCUCUGCUGUCAACAAAACAACAAAUAGAUCACAUUUAUUUAUAUAAGAGAAAUCAACAAGAUCAUCAAUUAUAACAAGACAGAAAAUCUUGACUGUGUCCAAAGACCAAGAUGAUGUAGAGGGAAGCCAGCCAACCUGAAGCUGCAUCCAGAACCUUUUACAAACACUCUGCUGCUGGUACCUAUUUGAUCUUCCAAUUUGAAGGUAGAAGUUUGCCAUCUUCAUUUCUUUGUCAUGUUAAGACGAAAUUAAGAAUAAUUUCUUCUGGUGUUAAAUACAUUUUUCUAAUAAUAAAAGUAAUAACACAUGUUCAUUAGACACAACUUACACCGUCCAGGAAAAGUUUAUUGAAAACAACAAAAGCCUACGUAAUCCAACUGAAAGAUGCUCACUUCCACCUUUGAGUCACUGUAGAGUUGGUUUUAUACUGGUCAUAUGGUACAUUCUGCUCUUUGCGCUUAGCUUUAUGUUGGGAGCGUGUCGCUACUUACACACAGAUUUCUUUUCAUGGCUUUAUAAUAUGCUAGUGAAUGGAUAUACUACUUAUUUAAUGAUUUUUUAUGUAUAGUUAGAUGGCACCUAUUAUUUUGCUAUUAUAAUGAAUGUUUUGCAUUAUACAUACAUAAAAGGACGCUCAUAAUAAUAAAGAUAAAAUUAAAAAUUUGAAGACACUUGAACAUGUUUCUGCAGGUUCCAAAUCGCAAAUUAUCCUUGUCUCCCACCCUUACGGUGCUUUUUAACAUGACCAACUUAUACUUGUUAAUGCAUCAACUUUUCUGUUACCUAUUUUCAAGUUUGUUUUAACAUGAUGCUUUAUUUCACACAGAUUCCUUCAUGGAACUGGGAAGUUUUUAAUGCCUUUUAAUGCAGUAUGUAUUAGUUAUCUUUACUGAAUAAUAAAUUAUUCCAAAACUUAGCCUAAGGCAACAAAUAUUUACAAUCUCACAUCAUUUCUGUGCAUCAGAUACCCAGGUGCAAGGUACCUAGGCAAUUCUAAUUCAGGGUCUCCUAUGAAAUUCUAGUUAAGCUAUCAACCUACAGUCAACCUACAGUCAUCUCAAGACCUGAGGGGCUUGAAAAUUCACUUCUGGGCUUACUCACAUGGUUACUGGUAGACCACAAUUUCCAAUUGGCUGUUGGCUAGCGGUCUCUGUUCCUCACCUUACUGGCCUCUCCAGAGAGAUGCUCAGUAAGGCAGGGUGAGAGAGCUAAAAGAGGCAGAGA
This is a non-coding RNA of Vicugna pacos (alpaca), 1581 nucleotides long. The record is from RefSeq and is a predicted model, not a curated record. Lineage: Eukaryota; Metazoa; Chordata; Mammalia; Artiodactyla; Camelidae.